RNAcentral lists this ribosomal RNA (425 nucleotides) under uncultured bacterium. RNAcentral describes it as "partial 16S ribosomal RNA". It matches the Rfam family "Bacterial small subunit ribosomal RNA", at positions 354 to 796 of the family's 1533-position model. The record is from RNAcentral.
GUUAGGAAUAUUGGACAAUGGGCGCAAGCCUGAUCCAGCCAUGCCGCGUGAGUGAUGAAGGCCUUCGGGUUGUAAAGCUCUUUAGCCGAUGAUUAUAAUGACUGUAGUCGGAAAAUAAGCCCCGGCUAACUUCGUGCCAGCAGCCGCGGUAAUAUGAAGGGGGCGAGCGUUAUUCGGAAUCACUGGGCGUAAAGCGUGCGUAGGCGGCUUUGCAAGUUGGGAGUGAAAGCCCAGGGCUCAACCCUGGAAUUGCUCUCAAAACUGCAAGGCUCGAAUUCGGGAGAGGAUAGCGGAAUUGUCAGUGUAGCAGUGAAAUGCGUAGAUAUUGACAGGAACACCAGUGGCGUAAGCGGCUAUCUGGACCGAUAUUGACGCUGAGGCACGAAAGCGUGGGGAUCAAACAGGAUUAGAUACCCCGGUAGUCC